This 30059-nucleotide long non-coding RNA is filed under the name Ananas comosus (pineapple). RNAcentral's name for it is "long non-coding RNA (ACOM_LNC004588)". The record is from RNAcentral. Lineage: Eukaryota; Viridiplantae; Streptophyta; Magnoliopsida; Poales; Bromeliaceae.
UAUAUAUAACUGCUGAUUCCUUAACCUAGCUGAAUCCUCAACAUUAUCCAGCAUUAAUGUUCAUUUCCUUUUCGUCGGGAGCUGUUUAAUUUGGAAGAUGUAAUUGGUUUAUCUGUGAAAGGACUUCUCAAUAAUCAUACUCUUUUUUACUUGUUUUGUUAUUUUUUUCCCUCUAUAAGCGUAACCUUUGCUUGACAAACAAUAUACCUAAAAUUUCUGUGGUGAUUAUGUAGGGGUUUCCUCCAACAGCUAGCAUUUUGAGUGGACUUCUCAAUAAUAAUAGCUGCAUUCGGAGCCUCACUCUCGACUGCAGUCAGUUAGAUGAUUCCUCCGUCAAGAUUUUUGCGAAAAAGAAUCUGCUCGAGCUCUCUUUGUUGAAAUGUUCAAUGUUCUCUUCUAAUAUUUUCACAGUUAUCGGUGAAAACUGCCCCAUGUUAAGGUAUGCGUCUUAUUUCACCAACAGCAAAUUGUCCCAUGUUAAGGUAUGCGUCUUAUUUCACCAACAGCAAAUUGAAAAUGAACAAUAAUGUAACAGUGAGCCACGAGCUAGUGAAAGAUAACACUCUUAAACCAAAAUUCGCCUGGGAACUUAUGCACACUGAUGUAUUCACGCUCCAACCUCUCUUUAGUAAUAUACUUUGUCAACCAAUCUCAAAUAUAUUAGCUAUCCAACAGUGUAUAUUCGUCUUUAACCUAAUUUAUCUUCCUUUCAAAUGUCUUCUACUGUUGGUUAGACUCAAACUAUAUGCAUGAGAAUACCACAUGAGUCUAUCUUUUCUUUUCCAUCUCAGAUUGUUUUCACUGGAUAUACUUACUUUGGACAUGGAGCCGAACAGUGUAUGUGAAAACACUAUAGCUCGGAUGCUCAAGGGAUUUUUGUAUUUGGAGGUGAAUUUUUUGAUUAUUAGAUCUUUUAAUAUCAAUAAAAGCAUCAUAGGUACUUGCAGUAUGUGGGCCAAGUCUUUUAGUUUUCAAUCUGAUUUAUUUAUGCUUUAUUUGCAGCAUUUGUCAAUAAAGUUCCAGCUAGUACAUCCUGCUUUUGGUUUUUUUGAGUCUUCUCAAUUCGCCCUUCCGAAAACCAUUAAAGUUUUGUUGCUGCAACCUAUACAUGCUAGGCAAGCAAGCCGACUUAUUCUCAACAAUAUAUGCGACACUGAGCCAGUUGCACCCGUUGCAGCUGUUGGUAACUUCUAUUUGGGGACGUCUUGGGGAAGCAAUCUGCAAUCCCUUACGCUUGUACUCAAUAUAAUAUCGGAUCAACUCAUCACCACUAUCACCAAAAAUCUUCACCAUCUGGUCGAACUGUGCCUAGAAGACAAACCAUUUGAGGAGCCCCUUUUGCUUCAUGAUCUGACCAAUAGCGGGCUUCAAUCACUAAGCCUUUGCCAAAACUUGACACGCCUCUCUCUCACGCGCAGUAAAACAUACAUCCCAGCCACUUUCAGAAGGGUGAAUGAUGUUGGUAUUCUUCUUCUCGUUGAAGGAUGUAAAAGGCUCGAAUCAGUGAGGCUCGGCGGAUUCGCCAGAGUGACAGAUGCAGGGUAUGCUGCAGUCCUCCACUCAUGCAAGAGCUUGAAGAAAUUCGAGAUUGUAAAUGCCUCAUUCUUGUCGGACUUGGCAUUUCUUGAUCUAUCUGCAGCUACCUCCCUCGUUGAAGUGAGAUUGGUGUCUUGCAAUCUGAUAACCAGUGAAACUGCACUCUCUCUCUCUACAUGUAGUAAUAUGGAAGUCUUAGACCUUUCUGGGUGCAAAAGUAUUGCAGAUUCUGGCGUGAUUUCGUUCUCGAAGCUUUCUAAGUUGAAUGUAUUGGACCUCGGUGGAUCUGAUAUCACCGAUAUUGGCUUAUCCGCACUUGGUGGCGGGAGCUCACCGAUAUCUUCUUUAUGUUUGAGGGGCUGUAAAAGGAUCACUGAUAGAGGUAUCGCUCAUCUGUUUAAUGGCAAGGGAAUUAUCAGGAAUACGAUAUUGACGCUAGACAUGGGUUACCUGCCUAGAAUAUCAGAUAAAGCUGUUGUUGUAAUUGCAAAGGCUUGUACAGAGAUCACCAUUCUAUGUAUCCGGAAUUGCUUCGGUAUCACUAAUGCAUCAAUAGAAGCUUUGGGUUCGCUGAAUCAUCUUGUUGGGAGAAGAACGAUAAGAAUGCUUGAUGUUUCCAACUGUUGUGGAUUAUCUGUUGAUUCUCUUAUGUUCCUUGCCCCUCCUUUCUUUUGCGGUCUACGCUGGCUUGGUAUUGGGAACACCAGUUUAGCGAGGAAAAGCAAACGCAGAGAUAUGGAACUUUUGGGAGGCAGGGUGGGUUUCAGGUUAUGCAUCGAGGGCUGCGAAAUGGGCUGCAAAAAUGGGUGGUACAGCCACAAAUUUAUAUAGCGUUCGAUAUUCAAGUACUAAAAUACCAGUUCAUGUAAUACUAGGACUAAGCAAUGUGUUAGUCAUUCCUUUUUAUAAGAGUAUUUGGACUAUCAUGCCAAUCUGCAUAUUUCACCAUUUGUUGUUUUGUUUUUUUUCCCUUUUUUUUUUUUCCCAUAUAACCUUCAUUUGCUUUCUGAGGUUGAGUAGUAUUAAGCUCCAAAUAUGAUAGGGUCUCAUUGCUCAUCAAAGUGUCUUGCAAAUUUAUUGUUUUUUAUGCAUCAUUUCAAUUGAGAAACACAAAUAAUAAUUUCCCGGGUGUCUAUUCAUUGUUUAAGAAAAAAAACGUAGCAAUCGCACAACAAUCGAAGAAUAAAAGUCAAUCACUAAAUAAAGAUACAAUAAUACUCUUAAUUUUGGCACAAAAGAGAUAUCAGAAUUCACGUAUUGUGAGAUCAAUCCUCGACCACAGAAAAUGAACUCAACAAAGUUCAACACCAAUGGAUCAACUGUUCUAUACGGUGUGACUGCAACAAAGAAAACAGAAAAAGAAGAGGGGGGGAGCAGAAGACGAGACUCUACAGAAGUGAACUAAUUCAAUUCUUAAGCUAACAAUGCAUCAUAAAAACCACUAUGCAAUUUAUAUGAAAGCCGUUCGGCCUCCUCUUCGGCUGUGCCUGUCAUAGGUUACGUUGAACUUAUCAACCAGCUCGCUCAUCGUACUGCAUAGUUGAGAAAAAAGAACCAGAUAAGCACUUUGAUACAUACACACAUUGGUAAUUAACAGUAGCUUUGGACUUGAAUGUAAGGUAAUCCCUCAUCCAAGAGAGACCACACGACAUUUUAGUUCCUUCGAUAACAUAGAUACUUUAAAUAAGCACCAAUAACAACAACAACAAAGCGGAGGCCACGUGUAUCAGCAUUGCAAGCCAAUCGAAAAGAAAAAUAUGCCAGCUGUGUUGCACUGUUAAAAAGUCCAUAUAGUUGCAGAACUGAAAUAGCUGCAGUAAAUGUUCAAGGUCCCUAAGAAUAGGUGUUCAGAAAUUGUUGGCAUAUUCCUUAUAGAUGAGAGAGAAUAAUCUUUCUCAUCAGUGGCCGCAACCUAAAAUCUCAGUUUUGUAAUUAGAAAGUUCUUUAUGUUUAAAGCAUUCCACCUACCAGGUUUAUUUAUCAUGUUCCAACAAAAGUAAUUGGAUCCCCUAUGCAUUACACAGUUGAUGACAUCUCUCUUCUCUUCCAUUCAACCAGUUCCUCAAAAUGACCCUUAAGUGAACAACAAGAGAUGUGACGAAUAAAAUUCGAAGAGGCCCUUCAGUUCACCAGUCAGCAGACUAGCUUAGCAUUAUCUUUUUAUCAUCAAUAAGCAUGCCCAGAAAUACAUCUUCCACCAGAUAUAUUUCUCUUACACGAGGUUUAACAAACACAAACUUUAAUGGUCAAGAUAGCCUUAUUAAGAUGACCCCCAGAUAUGCUUCUUUCUUUUUUCCUUGUAAUUUCAUGGUAGUGUAAGGGUUUUACAUACCUGGAACAGUUGGUUAACAUGGCAAGAUAAGUCAUCAGAAGUGUGUCAUUAAAUUCCUACAAGAAAGAGUAGACAUCAUCAUUCAUUAAGGCCUAGAAGAAAAGGCAAUAAUACCAUAUUUUGUUUACUGUUAAAAUAGGUAUUUUACUCAUGUAACCAUAUAAGAUGCUUCGUCUUAUUCUCGAAUAAGUUGGAGUAAUACUCCAGUUAGAAGAUAAACCAGAUCUUUCUAAAGCAGCAUGAUCCACGAAAAUAAAACCUGGAGUCAAAAAGCAGCAAAUAAAUAAUGCAUUUAACACACCGUAAGAAACUCAUCCUGAAAUUUCUCAGACUCCAUGGCUGGCAAUCUCCUCAAAAGGCUUGAAACUUGCCUUAGAAGUGAGUUAUCGCAAGGAAUUUCACCUAUAUGUUAAAAAACAACAGUACUAGUUAAGAAACCAAGCAAGAACAUAAAAGAUUACAUGGUCCAUAUAUUUAAGACAAAAUGCAAUUAAUGGCUUUAUAAAUUCCAAUUUCAAUGGAUGGUUUCUCAAUGAAAUCUUUGAUGUUUCAUAUAAAAGAUAGACCUAUGAAUUUCUAUGAUGAAACCACAGGCCUUGUCACUCAACAAAGGAUCCACUAGUCAAAUAUGUAUAAGAUGGGACAAGAACAAUAAUGAGUGAUAUAAGAAAGUUCAUAGUAUAUAUUAACACAUUACAGCAAAAACAACAGUCAAAAAUCGAAAGAAACUGAUAGAAAAUUGAAAUGGCAAAAAAUGUACCUCUUUGCAUGGCAAGAAGAUGUUGAUGAACUAUUUUGAUCCUGCUAUUUAGCAUCUUGAUGGCACUAUGGAUGCUAGUAAGAUGAGCUGCCACUACUCACAAACACAUUUGUCGGUUUUCAUCAAUCAACAAAAUAAGAUAAAAGACGACAAUAGCAAAGUCUUACAUUGAGUUGCAGCUGAGCCCCCAUCAGAUGGUUUAAGAUGUGCUACAUGAUCAACUGAAAUUCUCUCUGCCUCUACAGUCUUUAAUUAAAACAAGAACCAAAAGAGACACAUUCAUCUUAACUGUAUAUGAUAGUUUUCCAACAGAAGUGAAUGAAUAGAGAAGCCUAACCUCAAUUGUGUAAUUUGCUCGGACAAAGAUGAGUUGUGGAAUCCCAUCAAUGACAUGCAACUCUUGAGAAGUUACAACAUAAUUCAAAUUUGCAAGAGCAGACAGUAUCAUAUUGUAAGUUGUAAUAAAAAACAAAGAUAUUCUACAUAAAUAGUUGUAAAAGUUAGAAGAUUAAACAGUAUGAUUGCUAGCAUAAGUGAAAGGAACAAUGCACCAGUCAAAUACAGUUGAUGGACAAAUACACACAAAACAAAUGCAGCUAACAUCACUAUUAGUCCACCGUGUAUAAUGGUAACAACUAUCGUGCUACUCAGCAUUUAGAACAUUGUUUAGUAAUCAUAGAAACAAUCCUAGGAAGACUAUUGUACCAAAAAGAUUAAUGGUUCUAGACGCUUGAUGCAACAGUUUCUACAGCCAACAAAUCCCUAAUAUCGUAUUAUCGAAAAUAAAAUAAACAACUAGCCGUGGGAAAAUGAAUUAAAGCAGAUUCAAAGUGCGGGCUCACGUACCACUUUCAUAGAUAGUCACAGGUAGGUCUUUUUGCGAGUGGUUGAUGGAAGGAUUCAACACAACAUAAACCGGGCUUUCAUUUAUAUCCAUCAGCUGUUUGAAAUUGUGAUAACAAAAUAUACAAGAUUAAAAACAUACCAAUACAAAAACCUUAACGAUAUAGCGAAAAAACGAAAGGGAAUUAGAUUAUUAGCAUCAUGCAACAACCAAAAAGCCAUACUUCCAAGCAAAUUCUUCUCCAUUCAGUCAUAUCUUGGGCAAUCUCCUCGUGGAAAAUAGGAUUCGCCAUACCUUUUCUCUUUGUGACUUAGAGGGACAUGAGUUACAUCAUGCACUUUGACAGUACAUGAGCCAUACCAUGUUGCAAAAGUUCAUAAGGCCAUUUCUAUAAUAUUUUCAUGUUAAAUUCUAAAUUUUGUUUGGCCUUAACUUUGAUAGUGUUGCCUAUUGAAUGCGUUGCUUCUUACUAUUAAAGGCAUCUAAAAUAAAUCCACCUAUUCCUCAUGAAGGGGUGCCAUUAUUAUGCCCCGUCGAGCAUUUUGGAAAAUUACAUGUCCAGAUGUUACCGAUCCCCAGGCCAACGACCAUCAUUUCUUGCUUUCUAUAUGACCAUCCAUUGAAUAAAUGGUCUAAGUUUAUGCAUAUAUUAAAUCAGCAACAAUCUAGCUCCGUAUAGAAUAGAUGAUGAAGCAUAAGGGAAGUUGGUCUGGACGAUAGUAAUACAUACUUGAAUUACUACCAAACUUCACAAAAUUAUGCACGGCACGUUAUGCAAGUAUUCGCAGGACAUCAACUAAGACUUAGCAAGAUACUAGUAUAAUCAACAAAUCAAAAUAUAUUACCAUCAACUUCACAAACUUAGUUAUGUCCCAGUUAACACUCUUAAAUAAAGGCAUUGUAUCAACAAUGUCCAAACUUACAGCUCUGUGGAUCUGCAUAUCCGACUCCUGUGCAUCAGUCCCCGUUGAAUACCACCCCAAUAUGUAGUAGUUCGGGAAAACCUUUUUAUCUGCAUCAAAGCACCCAAGGAUCACCAAUCAACAGCACAGAAAGAAAGAAAUAUGAAUUGACAAAAUAAACCAAAUUCUGGCAUAAAAGAAAGAUGUCAAUAAAGAACAAACCCUAAUUUCUAACCAUUAAACCUCAAUCUUUUAGAAUCCAUCGUAACAGUACGAAGACCGAAACCCUAGAUAAGGGAACAAGAUCGAGAAGUGGAAACCCUAGAGAGAGUGAGGUAUAUACAGAGUUCUUGUUUCUUCUCGAGGAAGCAGCGAUCGAGGGUGUGGGAGUGGGGGUCGUAUAGGAGCUCGAAGCUGUUGAAGAUCUCGACGGUGCGGCCGCGCUGGACGCCGAUGACGCACCCGAAGACGCGCGGCAGAGGAGGCAGUGCUGCGGCGGCGGUCGCGGCGUCGCCGCCGUUGGCGGCGGCGGAAGAGGCUGAGGCGGAGGAGAGGUGCUGGUUCUGGGCCUUGACGCGGGUGUGGUGGUCGGAGAUGUUGAGGAUCACGAGAGGGUGGAGCUUGAAGGUAAGCCCACUGCUUGAGGACGACGCCAUGGCGAAGGGGAAGGGGGAAGGGGGGAGAGAGAGAGAGAGAGAGAGAGAGAGAGAGAGGAGCUCUACGGAACGGAGCAGUUCGAGGUGGAGAUGGGCUUCGGCGUAGAGGUUGUACACGGAGAGCUUCGUGUGUGUGUGCAUAUAUAUAUAACCGCUACACGGACUUAAGGACUAGAUCCGGCAUCGCCCCAUACUUCGUCGCCGACUUCAAAGGGUGAAACCGGAAAACGGUGCCGUAAUUUUUUUUAGAAAGAUUGCAAAUUUUAUAAGAAAUAAUAUUCUUUCGAUGAUCUUAGUUAUAAAGCCGUAAAAAGUAAAUAAACUCAAAUUAAAAUUUAAUAGUCAAAAUGUAUGAAUGAAAAAAAAAAAUAAUUUUGACAGUUCAUAUAGAUUAACUUUUUUUCAAUUAUUAUUAUUAUUAUUAUUAUUAUUAUUUUCCUCCGCAUUCAGAGAGACGACCCAUCGACCACGAGCUUGGUGGGCCCCGUUAAUAAAACAAGUCGAGAAGGGUGAGGUCACCGGGGCUGUAUUGUACGCAUCGCAACCGCCACGGCCGUAGUCCACCAAAGCGAGCGAGCGAGCGUGGAGGCUCUCCGCUUUAUUAUCUCCUUAAAACCCCGCUCACGGCCCCGAUACCGCGUUCCCUUCCCCCCCACCCCGAAAUUAUAUAAAGCGAGCGACGCGAACUUCAUAGGAGUUCUCGUCGAUUCGAUCGGAAUCGAAGCUUGAGGAGGAGAGAGGAGAGACGAGGAGGAGUACGAGGAGGAGGAGGAGGAGGAGGAGGAGGAGGUGAGGCGGUGGCCAUGGCGAUGCGCGAUCUAGUCACGGGGGGCGCGGCGUGCGCGGUUCCUGGCUCCUCCUCUUCCUCGAACCCCUUCGGUGCCCUCGCCAACGCGAUCCUCGGAUCGUCUUCGAAAACUCAGGUGCGCGUUCAUUUCCCCCAAAAUUUUCUGAUUCAUGCAUGAAUUCUAGCUAGUUUGAUGGAUAUCUUCUUGUUGUUCGUGAUGAUGUUGUAUGAAUUGGAGUGCUCGAGUUCGGAUUAUUUGAAUGAUUCUUUCCAAGAAACCUGUUCACGUGGUUCUGAACGGAUUCUGCUUCUUGAUAGUUGUUUAUUCUUGUUACAGAGCUCGCUCGAGAGGUUAUUUAGGUUUAAUGACCUGGUAGCUAUCGUAGUUUCUGGUUCUGUGAUGUUCUUCAAAGUAGUCGACUUUGGAUAAUCGGAAAAAUUAUUCUUAAGAAGCCUGUUUACAUGACUCUGAACCAAGCCCACUUGGUUCAGAUGAGAAUUCUAGCUGUGGGACUUGUUCGAUCGGAAUACUAGGGUUAAUUCACUGAUAACUAUCUAAUAAUUCUUGGACGUGUCAUGUGUUUUUGAAGUACUUACAAUAAUUGGAAUCAUUCUUGUCAAGAAGCCUGCUUAAUGAUUUAGAAAUAAGGCCACUUCUUGAUAGUUGAAAUUAUCUUGAUGCCCGUGUCUUGUAUUCUCAACUUGAAGUCUAUCCAGAUCCGUGUGAACCUUUCUAUGUUUUCAACUUCUCUUUCUUCAACUUUGGAUCUAGUUCUUGUUUCCCUUUUAUAACACUUUCCCAUAGUGCUUGAUUGUAGUUGAUUACUUUGAUUGCUAUCCUUUCUGGAUGUGAAUGUCUUGUCGCUUAGUAUUUUCACAACUUCUUCAUGUGCUGAACUUACCUGAGAUAACAUGUAGUAUAAAUCAAGUAACAUAUUUUCAUGUCGCUUAGUAUUAUGAUGAUUUUAUCAUCCUAUUGGUUGGACCAGUGCUUUAAUCUAUUUAGUAGUGAAGUUAAAAAGCAGAAAUGACUAGUGUUGAAUCAUGACUCCAUAGUGCAUAAGAAUGGAGUAACCUUCCAACACGUCCAUAAUUGUUAAUUUUCUCAGAUUAUCAACCUAAGGUAAGUCCAGGACAAUGUGCAUUUGUUCACUUUUCCUUUUCUGCAGUAUCUUUUUCGUCCUUUUGCCUGCUUUUCCUUUGAUAACUGCUAUCUUUUGACAGGAACUAAAGGGACUUCCUGGUUCCGCAGUUAAUGUUCCUGAGGCUUCUUCUGACUAUAGGCCUGCAGCUCCACUGACUACCAUUCCAGGGUCAGAAUAUGAGAGCCAACAGGACCAACGACCAGAUGCCCGGGUAAAAUUAUAUUCCAUUUAGGUCCUGCGUAAUAAUUUUUAGCUUUUGUAACUGUAAUCAACUGUCUUCAGACUUCUGAAUUCCUCCAUGGAUUCCAUUCUACGGAUCACGGUGGCCUUGCAGAAGCCUGGGAUGAAAUUCAUCGGUCUCCAGUUUUUCCUCCUGCUCAGUUCAGAGAAAAUGAGGCCCACUUUGAAGAGUUUGAGAGAGUUUAUAAUGCAAAUCCCCUUCAACCCACUUGGGAUGGUAGGUUUCGUGAUAGUACUUUUCCUAUAUAAGUUUUCUUUUUAUUACUAUAAGUGUUAGACAGUUUAAUAUUAUUGUUGAUUCACUAUAAUACCAUGCACUAAGAGCUUGCCCAGAUUGCAACUGGUUUCUUGCGUUUUCUUGUUAACUUGCUGUUUUUUUGCCCUGAGUUAGUGUUCUCUAGGCGGAAUCUGGCCAGAAAUAUUAUCUUUAAUUUUCUGUUGGAGUUUCAUCACAACAUAAGCUUCAAAACAAGUUUAGGAUCUUUGUGCACUGUUUUCUUUUAUAAUAUAACUGUAGAAUUUGUUGGAAGAUGAUCUUUUUUUUACCCUGGAUUCAGGUUUGGAUCUUGAUCAUUUUUUAAGUAGCACAGGGUUUGUUCUUCAACUUUUCUUCUUGACUUGCCCCUUUUUUUUUUUCAGUUCUUUCUUUCUAUCUAAUUAAAAUGCUUCUGUCUUACAAUGUAAUUAAUUAGAAUGUAAAUUUAAUUAUGCAUGUGUGCGUGAACACACCUUUCAAUUCAUGAAUUGAUGCCCAUCUAGUUGGGGGGAUUGAGUAAGACUUGAGCAUCUUAUAUUUUGGAUUCAAUGUGACUUAUGCGAAACCAGCAAUGGGCUAACUGGUUAUGGAAGUUGUUGAGGUUAAGGGGCCUAUAUUUUUAAGAUCAAUAAGCGGAAGGUAGAUACAGGACUUUUCCUGGUGUGCUGGGCUUAUGCCGUCUAGUAAGCAAAACAAUUCACUCAGGGAAAUAUUUGGUGCCCUAGGUUAUUAAAACUAGAAAAACAUUUCAAUAUGUCAGAGGAAUUUUUUGUCCCAAAGGUUAUUGAAACUGCAUGACAAUUUUAUUUGCCAUAUCAAAUGAUGCAGCACAUUUUACAAUUUUUUUUUACAUGUUUAUUAUUUUCAAUAUUGAUGCAUCUUGGUUUUGCAGGUCCACCACAGAGAGUCUUGUCUAGUGUCCUGCAUUCUUUCCUUGGCAGUGAUCAAGCUGGUGUUCCUUUCCGCCCGACUGCACUGCCAGUUCUUGGGUUAUCAGAAGGUGACAAACAAUGCAUACGUGAUCGUAGCUGCAUAAUGGCACGCCACAUUUUUGCUGAUAAGAGUGAAGAGUACAUUCAAUCACAGGUUUUUACCACAAUCUCUCAUGGUUUCCAAUGUCUAUUAUCAUUUAUGUGGCUGCUAAAUAUUAGAUAUUUAUACAGGAAUACUAGUAAAUAGAUGUUUUUUCAGGAAUGUACGUGUAGAAGCCCCUUUUUUUUAAGCAAUCUUAUCAUUUCUUUGUUUCUUUUCCUGUGGAUUGGCCCGUAGAGAUGUGUGUUUCUGUUUUUGUUCUGGUUUGAUAUCUGACAAAUAUCUGUCUCAGGUAAAUGCAUUGCUGCACUCUUUAGAUAUUGAUAGCAAUCAUCAAAUCAGAGGGUCCAUGCAUGGACCUCAUUCAGAAUUGGAGGGAUAUUGGAACGAGUCUCAAGGUGCCAUGAUACCUAGGAUGCCUAAUCCUGUAGAUGGUUGGAUUACAGAAUUUAGCCAACAAAGAGAAAAUGAUAACCCUGCAGCCUGGGCCAAUUCCUUCGAACAAAUGCAUGGUGCUAAUGGCUGGGCUUCUGAAUUUGAGCAGGUCGGUAAUCUUUUAGAUCAUGUCAAAUCACAUUCAUUUCUAUAGACUAGUAUAGAUCAUGCAAUAAGCCGAAUGCUCUUGGUAGAGGUACGUAAACAUUUCUAUUUCUCCAUUGUCUUUUUGAUAUAUGAAAUGCCAUAUGGAUGUAGUGCUACAAUUCUCUUCUAUUCAUCGCAGAUAAAAAAAAUUAUCAUAUAAAACACUGGUGCAGUCUAGUGGAAAGAGAUAAUAUGUUGGAACUGGACUAACUGAAAUGUUUCUUUGAUACUGUUUCACUUGGAAGUUAAGAAUUUUGAUCAUGAAGGAAGUCCAUCUAUCUCCUGAUUAUGAAGAGAUUAUUGGCUAAAAUAUUUCGAUACAUGAAAAGUUUGUUCUCGAACAACAAUAUAUACCCACAAAAGUACCUCUCCUUUCAUUUUAUAUAAAUUGAUCAACUUUACAUACCCUUUUUUUCACUCUGUCAUUUAUAAAAUUGACUUCACAGUAAGAAAAAUCUUAUUUAAUCUAUUUAAUCAUGGAGUUCAAUAAAUCAAACAGUUCUUCCGUGAUAUUUGCUGCUUGAGUUUUCAAGUUCUGCCAUUUAAUCUGAUAAAAAAGGUGGGGGGAAAGAAAAUCGUCGCCUUUCUUUUUUUUUACAACUAGCUAGUCAUUAUACAGAAUUAGCUAAUUAGCAGUGUCUCAUUCUUCAAGACUUCAACGAGAUAGAUAGUAGCUACAUUAUCUUCUUAUUUAACUUCUUAUGAAUCAUAAACCCGUGAAGCAUCCCUCUAUUAAAGGCCAUAUCUUCUUUUUAACUUUUCAAUGGUGAUGUUUAGAAACUUGGCUUUAAAAUGCUAUUCUGAUCAACAUUGUUAUGUGUUGCUUUGAAUUCAUAAUUUUUAUUCCCUUUUUUUUUUCUUCUUUCUGUCUUGGUUAGGUCUGCAAUAUCCUGCAUCUUGUUAUUGUAUGGGUGCUUCUGUACAGUGUGUCAUAUCUGUACUUUGUAAUUUGUAAUCUGAUUGUUAUCUGUUUCACUUUAUUAUAGGAUCUAAAAAUGGGUCACAUGAGAGAUGCAAACUUAGCUAACUUAGCUGCAAUGGAGCAGAGCCGUAUGCUUGCACAGACAUUAGGACAAAAUAGAGACCCGAAAUUUCAGGUAUAUGAAUUCCAGUUUCGGUAUAAAUCAUGCUGGUUAUGGCACUUUUCUUCUAUUAGCUUGCUUUUUAACAUACGAUUGUUCUUUUAAAUUAAUCUACUUCGUCGAUUUUUACAGUCUUUGUUAGGAAAUUCAAACAUCAAUUUGCUUCUAGUUUGUAUUAUGAUAUGAAUGCUGGAUUUUCUUGAUUUAAAUUGUUCAACAGUUUAAUGCUACCUUUGCAUCCAGGGCCUAUAUUUGUCCUACCGGGGAAAAUAUUUGCACAUUUCCAAUAUCUUUCCCUGGAAGCAUAAUCACUAUUUCAAUUAGAAGUUAAAUAGCUUAGAUUGUUUCAUGGCCUAUAGGUCCUCGCCGAUGGUUUCAAACCAUCUCGACACAGUACACUACAACCAAAUUAAAAUACACGAAUAGCAUAACCUAUUUUUUUGAUUUAGUAAUUUAAAUAUGUCUAUGCAUAAUAUUGGAAAAUAUUACUAGAUUAAUAUUACCUAUAUAAGGCAUAUUUGUAAUUUAUUCUGCAAUUAGUCAUAACUUGAUUUUUUUUUUUUUUUUUAGUUUGAGGGAGUAUUGAUUUACCAGUGCUGUGCUUGAUGAAACUAUUUUGUUUUUGAACUAUAUAGAUAUUAUGGCUUGCCAAUGUUCCUCUUGUUGCCUGUUUUUAGUUGAUCAAAAUUCUGGCGAAUUGUCUAAUUUAUCAUGAUCACAAGUAUGUGAAACUAAAAAUAUGUUAAAAUGCAAGAAAGGCAAUGAAGAAAGAGUCUUCCAUUAUAAGGCUGUAGAAAGUCUGAGCUGUCUUACAGCCUAAUACUUCUUGCUAUAGUAUAUUGGAACUAAUAUUAUAGGUCUAGGCCUAAUGCAUGUCAGAAAAAUAUAAGGUGUUUAUGACUCUUCUACCAUGACCUUCUCAUAUAGAUCAUCUCAAAAGCUUGAUACUUAAUGGUGUGUUUAAUUGUCCUUUUACCCCAUUUUGUGGCAUUUUUUUUCUAAAUUUUCUGUCAUAAGUGGCUGAUGUCAUUUUCAUGCUUCACGCUAUGCAAGAAAUCAAAGUUUCUACAGUUUGUUUCAAAGAUGAGCCGUGGUGAGCUUAUAAUUGAUGAGAACCAAAUCAAGCCGGGUACAAACUCUCUUGCUGGUGAUUGGGCUAAUGAGUAUCAAGCGCAGUAUGAUGUUGGCCCAAAGUCUUGGGCAGAUCAAUUUCAACAAGAAGAGGUAAAGUAUAUAUGUAUGUAAUGUAAUGCAGCUAUGUGUUUAUUUUAUCUAUGCUGAAAGUAUAUGUAUACACAUAUAAACUAGACAAGGUAGCUAUAAGACGCCAAACUUGCUAGUGCUUAUUUGCCUUCAGAUCUGCAUCAAGAUCAGUGUGUACAUAUACAUAUUCAGUACACUGGCACACAUCCUGAAAGUCAUGAAUUGAGUUUGCGAAUCUUUGUCUACUGUAAAUUAGUUUUGAGUUAAAAAAAAUGACUUGCGCUAUUGUGUUUUUGAAGUUUGGGUUCUGAGAUAACCUCUUCUUGCAAGCUAACUAUGUAUAACACUAUAUUCUUGUAAUCAGCUUUCACGAGGAACAGAUAACUGGGUGCAUGAGUUCUCUAAGGAACAUCAGCGGCCAGAUGAAAAGUGGGUCGAUGAGUUCUCCAAAUUGAACAUGAAUGACUGGGUGGAAGAAUUUGGUCAGCAGGUCAGUGAAGGAGCUUUUGGGGAAAGCUCUGCUGAUGUGUGGGCAGAUGAUUAUGACAAGUAAGUUUGAUUGUGAACUUCUGGGCAACUACAAAAUGUGCUUAAACAUUUUUUGUUAAACACUUCUUUAUUUCUUAUGCUGGCCUUUGACUUUUAUGUCUUUUCCACCUGAAUUUUAACUUUUCUUAUUUUUGAGAAUUUCCUUCAUCAUGAGUGAUUAAUCACAACCUCGAAUUUUCAUUGAUUGACCAUUAUCUGUGUAAUAAAAUUACCAUAAACAGCACAUCCGCCAAAAUUAAUGGGUGACCCAAAAUUAGGUAAAAGAAAGGGGAAAAAGAAUUGGUGAAAGUUAAAAGUGUUACCAAUCACAAUGACAUAUGAUGAUGGGGUCCCUGUACUUUUCUGGCUUAAUACUAGUGUUCUACUAAAAGUACAUGUGAUUAAGUUUCGAGAACUUCUUUAUGCAUUAAUCUAUUAUUUUAUGUAGAUACCUUGAUGACCAGUUACGGGCAUCCAAGCAGCGGUCUGGUGCUUCAAGAGGGGUUUAUGUAUUCUCUGACAUGAACCCUUAUGUUGGUCAUCCCAAUCCGUUGAAGGAAGGGCAAGAACUCUUCCGGAAAGGACUUCUAAGUGAAGCUGUUCUUGCUCUCGAGGCAGAAGUUCUGAAGAAUCCUGAUAAUGCUGAAGGGUGGAGGUUGCUUGGAAUAACACAUGCAGAAAAUGAUGAUGACCAGCAGGUGACUUGAUGUCUCUCAAACUUUAAUCAUAAGCUUUGUCUAGCUUGGUGCUGAGUUUAUUAUAUUAGUCUACCAUGUGUCUUGUCUCCUGCUUCCUGUCAUCCUGUUUGCCAUUGACAGCAAAAAGCAGGAUGUUAGUUAUGCAUGCUAUGUUCACUUAGCACCCAUAUAGCAUAAAUUAGCACCUAUAUAGCAUAAAUUAGCACCGAUAUAGGAUAAAGUGCUGGUCAAUUGACAUAAUGAUGUAUUCUUCUUCUGAAUAAUAGAGAUUAGAGUGCAGGUUCCACUGUAGGAAAGUUUAUUUUGGGGUUGUGAGAAGUCUUAGUGUUCUAAGGUCGUAUAAGGCUUCUUUAUCUCUUUGAAACAGUUGUGAAUCCCCUGCAAAUUAGAUUAUCUUUAUGAAUUCCCUGCAUGAUGCUUAAGAAGUAACAACAGUGGAUUUGCUUUCAUUUGCUUGAAUUGAUUGUCCUACUAAACACAGAAUCUGAAGAAGAAACUGUUCAAAGUUGGAGUAUUUUGAGUUCCCAACUUUCUUGCUAAUUGCUUCUUAUUGUUUCAGGCUAUUGCAGCUAUGAUGCGAGCCCAAGAAGCUGAUCCGUCAAAUUUGGAAGUUCUUCUUGCUCUUGGUGUUAGUCACACCAAUGGUUAGUUGUUUCUCUCAACUGGUUGAAUUAGUGCUUCAUUUUUUUUAGUUUCUGUAUGUCAAGUAUCUGAUGUUGCAUUCUUUGCCCUGUUAACAUAAUAUUUGCUGAUAAACUAUAUACACUAUGAUAGUUCUAUGUAGAAACAAGAUACUUAAGUUCAACAAAUUUUACAAGAAUAUUAUAUAAUGACUUCUGCUACGUAAGUACCAUGCAUGAAGACUGGUAAUUUUUUGCAUCGACCUUAGAGGUAGAACUUUCCGGUCAAACAAUUGAGCUUUGAAUCUUGAGAUGGGCAGCGUCACCAGAAAUUUGGAGCAGUCAAUUUUGUUGGUAGUAAUAGUCUUCUGUAUUGGAAAUUUUGCUAGUUCUAACUCACAUGAAAGAGGAGUAAUAGGGUGUUUUAAUGUUUAGAAGAACGAAGCUGAAUCUUGUACUUUAUGUGAUUGCAUUUCCUCUUUGCUGUUCGGCUGUAGCAAAUGAAGAUGGCAAAGUUCUCCAUGUCUGAGCAUAGUCAAUCUUUUUUUCCAUGGUGAUACCAUAUAAACUUGCAUUUGCAUUUGGCCGUUGUCGGUGAUGGUGUCUUAUUUUAUUUUAUGGUCAUUUCAACAUGUUUAGUAUUUUUAUUGCAUGUGCACUUGCCUUUCCUGUCAUCCAUAUUGUCCAUAUUGCUCUACUGAUAAAUAAUAUAUCCAUAACAUUAGGGUGGAAUGAUGCUAUGGUUUUCCCUUUUCCUUUUUUUACCGCAGAGUUAGAGCAAGCUGAGGCGUUGAAAUAUCUUUAUCGGUGGCUUCAAAACCAUCCAAAAUAUGGGUCCCUUGCUCCUGUACAGCAGGCAGAUUCUCUGUAUUAUGCUGAUGUAAGUGCCAAAGACAACUGCUUAUGCCCUUUUUUUCUUUUUUGUCAAGUAAGCAUAAAACCUAUCUUUUCUUGUAUACUAUCUUAACACACUAUUCGUCACAACUGAAGAGUUGAUCACUUCAAAUCCUCUGAUUUAAUAGUUUACUACUAGAUAGACAGGUUAAUGUUUUCGACGGACCAGAAAUCAUGCCGUAAGCAAUUUAUUGGGGCACACCCAAGAUUGUGGACAAUUGACCAUACCCUUUUUUUAAAAUUCUUUUGUAGUUUUUACAAAGGUAGAUCUUGAAGGAGCAUUCUAGUUCAUAAGCUUUGGUUUUUAAUGGAAAUUGGUUAAUUUGAAUCAGGUUGCGAGGUUGUUUAAUGAGGCUGCUCAAAUGUCACCAGAGGAUGCUGAUGUCCAUGUAGUGCUUGGCGUCUUAUACAAUCUAUCCAGAGAAUAUGACAAAGCUAUAGCAGCUUUUCAGGAGGCACUAAAGAUCAAACCGCGUGACUACUCUCUCUGGAACAAGCUCGGUGCAACCCAAGCAAACAGCGUUCAGAGUGCUGAUGCAAUAUUGGCGUACCAGCAGGUAAAAAAGACAUUUAUUUUCUCUUUUUCCAUGCAAUGUUGGUUGUCUGUGCUCCUAUUUGAUACUAUGCAUGUAUUGGAGUACUGCAGUGACCCUUUUUUUUCCUUUUAUGGCACUCAGGCUUUAGAUUUGAAGCCCAACUAUGUUCGUGCAUGGGCAAAUAUGGGCAUUAGUUAUGCCAAUCAGGUUUGUUCUUUUCCAAGGCAAUAACUUAUUGUGCUCAUUCUUUUACGACAAAAAAGUUCAUCUACAGUUUGCUUGCUUUCUUUCCUUACAGCUCUCUUUCCGUUUUUGGUGCGCCAGCAUUUGCUAGCUCUAGUAAAGUUUUGGAGUUUCUUUUUUUUUGCCCCCCUGUUUCGCUCUUAUAAACUUUUUUUUUCCUCCUUUUCAGGGUUUAUAUGAAGACUCUAUUCGGUACUAUGUUAGAGCACUUGCUAUGAAUCCUAAAGCAGAAAAUGCUUGGCAGUACCUACGGAUCUCUCUCAGGUACUUAAGUGAGCAUUUCCUCUGUUGUUUAUUUGCAGUCAAUACCAAAGAACAAAAAAGACAAGAAAAUGUAAGCUAUAGACAUGAAAAGUAAAUCUUUCUUAGAUGGAGAAAAUAACAUGCUAUAUUCUCUUUCUUUGAUACAGCUGUGCUUCUCGGAACGACUUGUUUGCAGCUUGUGAUUCACGUAACCUCGAUGUUCUCCAGAAAGAGUUUCCGCUGUGAUUGUUGUACUUUGAAGCAAUAUUCUUGUGUAGGAUCUCCAAUCCGAAAUGGAAGCACCUCAAAAUUAGAUUUUUUUUUUAAAAAAACUGUUAUUAUUAUUUUAUACACACACUAAUGCAUGGUCUUCAUUACCAGAAUUUUUGGUUCUUAAAGAUAAUCUUUCUAAUGAAAAUGAAAAUACUGAAUAAUAACCAAAUCAGAGGCUGGAGUGGCUUUGGAUCAACUAUUAGAAGACUAGGCUUCGCAAGGAGACAUUGUGAACUGCGAUUCAAAAUAACAAAAACAUUCACCUUCUUGAGCCUAGUAAGCUUUCUUUUAAGCAUAAAACUUUGGAUCUUAACAGUGUAACUUAUUGGAAGAUAGAUAAUUAUAGGAAGUGGUAAUGUCAUCAUUGUAUGAAAUGGGCAAACACAAUUCAAGUUCGUUUCUACCAUACACCGGUAUAUACUUCUGUUAGUGCACAAGAUGAAUUUCCAAAUGUAUUGCAGCGGCCGUAUGUUGAAUUCUUAGUUAAAUAGCUGUCAUGCCAUGCUACCGUACAGGCACCACAAUAAAGAACAAUAAUCAAGGUCUGGUUGAUUUUUCUGUAUGAUCAAGGCUUUUUUGUGUGCUAUCUCUAAUACCUGGAACUCCUCCAGUAGACUGCAGUCAUAGAUUCUAUGAGCACCUAAAGUUGAUUGAUUGAUGAUAAGAACGUUCCGUAGAAACGAGGGAGGAUCCAGAGUUUUCCAUAACAAAACGAAAAAAAAAGUGAAAGUCACACACAAACAUUACAAACUACAAGAGACGAUGAAUGACAAAUGGUGAGGCGUAAGUAGGGAUAAUACCAAUCAGAGUAAACAAUCGGUCACUAAUACAAUAUUACAAUCCAUUAAUCAGACUAAGGCAAUCAACUGAUUCAUUCAAAUAUUGAACAUGUAAAGACACCAAUGUAACCCACAGGGGCCACCACUAAAUUAAGGCAUUUUGAAAAAGAAAGGAAACAUGCUUUCACAAACACAGUUUUCGAUGCUGCUGCACGAGUGUAACCUGACGUACCUUUCGAUAGCCAACAGCUUUCUAUUGUCUUAAAUAGUCUUAGGCAAAACUAUUUAGCUCCGCUCUUGUUGCCUCCCGUGUCAAUUGAAUUCAGCCUCGAGAAACAUGAUGAAUUCCUGUCAUGAGGAGAUAAGAAACACCACAGGUUUAUUGCUACAAACACCCUUAACAGGCUCACCGCCUGAACGCAUUACUUUCGGUGGCGGCCAACCCCCCUUGUGAGUAAUAAGCCCGCCGCCGAACACUCUCUUCGAUUGUAGAGCUGCCCCCUUUCUCUGUUCCAAAUAUACUCUUCUGAGCCUCAUCUAAGAAGUUCUUUCCCCUCGACGAGUUUGCUCUCAUUGCCUCUUGCACAUCGGCAUCUGCCGCUUUCUUUAGGCGCUUCCACCUCUGCUCCUCAUGGAGCUCUGCAUCAAGCUGCAUCUCUCGUAGCCGGGCUGCCCUCUCUUCCUCCGUCAUCUUUACAACACCCCGACGAUGCCGAUUAUAGCCAGCUCCCUGAUGUGUGUUAUGUUGGUUUGUUUCCCUUUCUUCAGCCUUCUGUUGUUCACUCUCUCUUCUAUCUUCCACUUUUCCAUCUCUUGAACUGUUGCCUUUUCUAUCUCUUGAAUGGGUGUAAACUUCUGACAAAUUCUUUUCAUACUUCGGGUUACUAUGAUGAUGAUCUGAUGUUGAAUAAUGUCUGGUUCUUCUCUCCUCUUUACCAUCAACUACGUCUCUUGAAUCUGAUCGAUCUCUGCGCGCAUGCUUAUCAUGCUUAACUGACUGAUGGUCCCUUUUUCUUCUCUCCUCGAUGUCCUCUGAAUCUGAUCGAUCUCUGUGCGCAUGCUUAUCAUGAUUGACUAACUGAAGGUCGCUCUUUCUUCUCUCCUUGAUAUCCUCAGAAUCUGGGUAAGUCCUAGAGUGUUUUCCGUGCUUUGAUUUACUAUACUCUCUCUGAGCACUGGAUGGACGAUCUCUCUUUCUUUUCUCUUCCUCACCAUCACUCAUGUCUUCUGAAUCCGAGCGAGCGUUGGAUGGGUACUUGUCGCUCUUUGACUUGUCAUGAUGAUGCUUCCUGUCCCUUUUCUUUUCUCGUUUUUCCUUCUUUUCUUGCUUCUGUUUCUUCUCAACUUCUACCUGUAUAAUAAGAGGUAUGUGUUAGAAAAAUGUGAAUAGCUUCUUUUUUUUAAAUUUGUGAAAUCAGUUUUAAUAUAGCAAACGUAAUAUAAGCCUUUUAAGUUCCAUACAAUUUGUCCCUUGGAUGUCUGGAAGAAAAAAACAUUUACCAUUGCAGUAGCCAUGAGAACACUAAGAUAUUAGUGAAGAAUCUAUUUUGUGCAGAAGAAGUGAUAGUCACUAAACAUGAGCUAAGUAAUAUUUCUAUAGGAACAUAUUUAACCAAAUUCCAACGAGUAGCAGAACAGUUUUUUAGGUUACAAGAUGCUUGGUCAAAAAAGUUAAGAACACUGUUAAAUUCCAUAAAAAUCUAGGUCAUCAAUCAAACUUUUAAACUUCAGUUGAUCAUUUCAAAUGCAUCUCGACAGAGUGUUUAUACAAUUCACUCUAUGAUAUUUUCAGAAUUAUUAAGGUAUAAGUCAAGUUUAUAGGUUAGAAAUCUGUGAUAUUUUAUAGGCGAAAGCAGAAAAAACACAACUUUAAGGACUCGUCUGUUUCACGGUUUGCGAUAAUCCAGCAAUCUUCAAUAUUUUCACCCAUAUUUUCUAUUGAAAACAAUAUGCUAAUCAUUAUCAUUCAACUGAAAUUAUGUUAGAGAAGUAGAAUCAUUGUAGAUUCCUUGAUGGUAAGAACACGAGAUUACCAUUCUCAUGUUCAUACUUGAUGGGAAUCAUUAGCAGUACAUUAAUAAUAAUACUAGUUCUUAACAACUUUCCAACCCAAGUGACUUAAUAAUUUAGUAACAAACUUGCUAUUCCAAAAAGAAAAUAUACAACAUUCUCCGAAUAUUACAAACCAAACAGCACCUAAGUGUAGCAUAUGUUAAGUUCACCUAAAGCAAUGGCAGAGCAUAGUUAUGUAAAACAAUGGGGAUAAAUAAAUAGGACAACUUACAGAUUUCUUUAUCAUCGCCAUCUUGAUGGGGUUGUUCUUUAUCCGGGCGACGGCUUCCUGCUCACGUUGUCGAAUGAGUAGCAAGGGAUCAGAGUGGAGUUUCCUCCACGCAUCAUUUGCCGACUGGGGCUUAUCUUCAAACAAAGCCCCGGGAGCACCUGACUGCGACUGGCAAUGAUAAGAAUAAGUGAUAAGAAGUUUAUUCGCCCAAAUAACGAAUAGAUACUCAAUAGAUAGCAUAAAUAUACAAAAUAUUAAUCAAACCAGGAAGCUAGUCAAACAAGCCUCAACUUUGAUGGGCUGAGUCGCUAAGAUCACAACCACCAAAAUAUAAGGGUUUAUAUCUAUGUAACUCGGUCGUUCGUCAUGAGUAAUCAAUGAAAGCAUUCAAUUUCUUAAACAUCAAGAAUUAAUAUUACAACUAUUGUGCUAAUUAAAUUAAAGCUCAAACUGUAACAAGAAAAUCUUUCAACAAAUCGGACCUCGGGGGCUAUUCCUCUAUCUCAGAACCUGGCCCUCCAUUUUUUUUCAGGAAACUCGAAAACCAGAAAUCACGGACGACUUCAGAAGUGGAAGAGAGCAAAGACCCGCGAGGCGGUAGAUAAAAGAAUCAAAAGACCUUGCCAAUACCAAGCGAUAAAAGCUUUGCAUCCGAGCAGUUCAACAUGAUCUACGGAUAUUUGGACGACUACUGAUCUAGAUAAAGGAUUAGAACGAGGGCUUCUGCAUAAUUCUCGUAAAAUCUAAAGCAGCAAACAAGUUACAAACUACAAUUACGAAUCUGACAGAUAAGAAAGGUUACCUUGGAGGAGCUAGCCUCGGCGGCGGGCGCCGGAGGAGGAGGAGCAGCCGCAGGCUGCAGCGCCUUGAAUCCAUCGGAGCUCCCUUUACCCACGCCCAAACCCGACUCGUAGAGGAAAUCCAACCGCUCCUGCUUCCUGCACGGAUCAAUCGAGAAGAAGAACAGGUCAAUUUAGCAAAAGACCGUAGGAGGUCCGAAAGGAGGGAAACCCUAACCCUAACCCUAACCCUAAAAUCUGAGGUGAGGAAGCUUACGGGACGAGUCCGGCUUGCUCCUGGAGGAGGCGGAACUCGGAUCGCUCGCGCUCGUCCUGGAUCUGCUUGCGGAGCUCCUCGAGCUUGCGCUGCUCGGCCUCGUGCUUCUGCUCCGCCUUCCACACGUUCUCGAUGUUGCGGAGGCUCCCCGUGUGCCAUCCCUUCUUGUUCAGAAACUUCAGAGCCAUGUCCUCUCCCUCUCCCUCUCCCUCUCCCUACACCUUCGUCGGGACCGGCGGAAAAGAAAAUGAGUGAAAAUUCUUUUUUUUUUAAAAAAAAUGUCGGAAGAAGAAGUAGAGGGGAAAGGAGAAGACGAGGGAGGGGAGCGCGAGAGGUGUCGCGCGACCUGUAAGACGAUGAGAAACGAGAUGGUAAGUUAACAAGUUAUAUGUUUCGCUUCGUUACGGUCACCGCACCAUUCGCACGAGUCGGAGACUCGGAACCAGUUUAAUUAGUUAGCUCGUCUUGAUGAUAUGAUAUGUCGGUUCACUCGUUCACUUGCCAAGGAAAAUCCGGAUUGGCCCAUCCCGGCCAUCUCAGCCCGGCCCAAUAGCGGUGUAUUAACGGAUGGGAUUACCACGAUAACUAACUAAUUAGGACAAAACUGGCUAAUUAAUACGAGUCUUACUUCAGUAUCAUCAUCAUUAGGAUCCAAGUUAUCUCCAUUAUAUUAACCAAGUCAUACGAUUUUACCAAAACGGGUAACGAUGAAUCUACCUAUAUUUAUCACAACAAAGUUAGUAUGGACGAAGCUAUAGUAGUUUCGAGGAAGUGGCAAAAAACUUGGCCGUUGGUACCUGAGGUUUCAAGUUCGAAUCUUAGUGUGCUACCUAUCUCUCUCAAAAAAAAAAAAAAAAAAAGUUUCGAGGAACGCCAGCGAACAACAUCAAAUAGUAUAAACUUGCAUCACCGCAACAAAUAAAAUCCUCCAAUCACGUGAAUUUUGUAAUUCCUGCUAUUCACGGGAUAAAAGUCGUCGUGAAAACAUGCAGAAGAUAUAUUAUUAAAAAAGAAAAAAAGAAAAAAAAAGAAAGAGAAUGAAAAAUCUAACAUACCAGUAAGAAUCUCUGUUAGAUUAAGUACAGGAGAUGGUUCCAUAAAAGUCAGGAGACGGGGGAUGAUUCACAGGCUUCUUUCAGAACAAAAACUUUAUACAGACUAAAGAAGCCUGUGAAAUUACAACCUACUGAAAGCACAUAGGUAGUAAUGAGAGCAGGAGAGUGCCCGAGACAAAUCUGAAUUCCUCCGAGCAUAAUUCAAAAUUUUACAAGAUUUCCCCCUAAAAUCCGGUCUUCUAAUUUACUUAAAUAGAAAGAAUGACCGUGUUUCCAACUUUCGCCCCUCCAUGCCUGCAGCUUGGCUUCUUGCUACAGCCAUUUCCUCCAGCUGGUAGACCUUUUAUCACCAGAUAAGAAUCGGGGAAGAUUCAAAAGGGAAUUAACCCUGGUAACACCUUCUAGGGCAGACCAUUCCUCUUCCUCUGCAGUGGAUAUGCAAUCCGCGAGCCUCCUCGGAGAUUGACUCCUCCCCGGCAUUUUCUCUACCUUGGUUCCUUCCUCAUUUACCGGUACAAUCUCGUCAUAAUCAUGUAGAGUGUACGAAUGUUGUAACGUGGAUGAUUUUACAUGUGCUUCGAUACUAAUGGGCCCUGGUGUUUCUUCCUGAUUUAAAUCUACUAUAUUAGAAGAAUCGGCGAUCAUUAUUUCCACCGAUUCCACAGAUGUCUUCUUUGGUUCAGUUUGCAGAGUUUGGUUGGCUGAGGAUUUGGUGUCCAAGAACAAGCAGACAACAGCACAGUCGUCGCUCUUUGAUGUUGGGAAUUUUAGUCUCCAUGAUCGAACAGCGCAAUCGACAAGAGCCCUAGCUGCAGUCGCACGAGAUGGGGCCGAUGCCACAAUAUCAACAGCUUCCUUGUUAGAGAGGACAUCCCAAACCUACAAAAAAAGAAAAGGAAAUUGGCAAAGGAAAAAAAAAUGUCUGCAUAUUCAUCUGUGUACGUAUGCAUGUAUGUAUUUAUUCUAGUCCAACAUUUGUUAUGCCGCCUGUGGAUAGCCUUGCAAAAGCUUGUGAAAUGGAAAAGACUCUUAACCAUAUAGAGGAAAAUGUAUAAAACAAACCAUCUUUUCCCAAAAUCCAACCUAUAAUAAAGUUGAAAAAGUUGACGAAAUACAAGUUCAAUAAAGUUUGGAUCAAGGAUUUAAGUGUCCAUCAGCACGGCCGUAUCUACCGUGCCGUAUCGUGCCAACAAGACAUUAGCACGACACAACUCCCGUACCGAUGGCACAGUUCAAAACUUUCUAUUUUUUCAAAUAAGUAAUUUUCUCAAUCAAGUUCAAAAUAUUUGAUAAAGAUACAAAAUAAAUUGUUUGAGUAUUUUGUUGCUAAAGAAAAUAAAUAUUUCAUGUCAUUACGUAUCAGCACACAAGUAUUUUUUGUGACUGACAUGCAUCGGUACGACUUGACACAUACUGUGCCGUAUCGUGGCGGCAAGUUUCAGCACGACCCUGUGCCACAGCACUUAAAUCCAUGGUUUGGAUAGUACACAGAUAUAUUGUUAUCAAGCUAAAAACAUGUAAGAGGACAGCAAUAGGCUUCACCUUCCGGCAGAAAUAGAUCACUUAAAAUUAUAUAAAAUAGCCAGCCAAACUAUCAAAAAAGCCUCAAGUAUUCUGAUCCCAUGCAUAUUAUGAGUUGUUAUUUGCUAAUACACUGAAAAUAUAUAGUAGGAGCUAUUGACAUUUUCCACGCUUUUAAAACAACAGUAAAAAAAAUUGGUUCUGGGAGAAGAAGAUACCCCAUCAGUAGCAAGAAUGAUGAACUCAUCUUUAUUGGUAAGGCGCCGAUAGGAUAUAUCCGGAACGGAUAUUAAGCCAUAGUCCUUGAGGCAAAAGUCCCCAAAAGCUCUGGCCAUUGCUAACCCAGGUGAGUCAUUGUUUGGCAACCAUAUAUAUAUAUAUAUAUAUAUAUAUAUAUAUAUAUAUAUAUAUAUAUAUAUCCCUGGAAAAUCAUCUAUUAGACAAAUCACCAGUAAAAUAUUGAUUUCAUAUAUAUACCCAUCAGUGAUUUACGUUCUCAUAUAUAUAAUACCCAUAUAUUUGUUUAGGGAGUCAUCCAAUUCAUUGAGGGAAGUUCUUUUUUUGCCUUUUUUUUUUUCCAUAAGACGGUUUUUUUAAAGAGCAGUGUUUUGGUAGCAAUGUGUGAGAUAUAAAUUUCUGAAGGGUAUUUUUUUAAAAAAGAAGUUUCUGUACUGAAUAAUCAAAACUAUUUAAAUUUAAUUUUCUCCAGUUAUAUGGCAUAUCUGCCAAUUGAUAUCUCAAGACUAAAUUAUGGAGAUAGGAGGUACUUAAGAAUUAACUGCAAAGUAGAAAAACAGAGUCAAAUUGCUAGCGAAGGAAAAGCCUAUUAUGCAUCAACUUCCUACUUGUUCUACAGCGAAAGUACAUGAACAUACUAGGAAGGUUGGGCUUCAAAUCGACAGUCAGCUGUACAGCAAUUAAAUUCUUUUCGUUAUCUCGUGUAGCCAGUAUUGCUCUUGAGUCUCCGAGAUUCCCAAUUACAAGAUCUAGUCCCUGGAGAAAUGCAAAUUGCGCAAAGUUGUUAAAGCCUGCAAAGUGGCGGAGAAAGAAACCAAGACUCAAAAGCUUCUCAUUUUAUUUCAGCCAAGUUGACUUCAUUUACUAAUGUUUAUGCAACAAACUUUUUGCGGAGAUCGUUAGCAUAAUCCAAGUCUUUUGCAACAAAUUGGGCCAUUUGAGCACAACUCAUGUAUGAGAAGGCUCAAACCUUCAGUUCCUCAAAAUAGCAAAAUAAAGAGAAAAACCUGCCACGAAAGCUAUAGUACAACUGGCAUGUAGAAUAAUCUAUUUUCUUGGCUAUAAUCUGUAAUCAUGUAAACCCAAGACCACAGAAAUAGUAGUCUAUUGCGUGUGUACGCCAAUCCCAACUUAGGAACCAAGAACUUUUUGUACACUGGCAGAAUAAAAGAAUUAAAAGAAUAGAAAACUCCGCAACUUAUCACCUGCUUUAUCACUGUAACAGCUGUAGUCCCACUGCAGAAGCAAUCGAUUGUUGGGUGAAGCUUUAGCUCUUUAUCCAUUAACUUGAAAGCUUUUAAAAAGGACUGUUUAAGUGGCAAAUACAUCUCGGGGAUCUUUUCGUUCUCAUCACAACAUAACGAUUCACUCCAUUCCUCAUCAACACUAACGGAUGCUGUCUCUUCAAAAUUCAUGCCCCCAGAAAUGCUAUUAUUUUGGCAUGGGCUAUCAUUGCCGUUAAUACUAGCUCUCCACAGAGUGAAUAGCUUGAGAGGAAGAGAAUCUCUAACUUUCCUGGCAACCAUAUGGCCGAAUGGCCCAUGACCGUCAAAUACUCCACAGAAGAUGGUGUCACUUCUUAAUACGAAAUUCUGCAGUCACACAAAUACAACAAGAAUUAACUAUGCUAAAAGUUUACAAACUAAAAGAAUACAUUUUGGAAAAUGCAGGUAAAUAAAGUUGACUGUAGAGUUAAAAAAUAAUUGAAUAUGCGCACCAUAGCCUAAGAAAAAGUUUCCUACCAAGAAUAACCCUAAAUGCCUGUAUUGGCACAUAUACCUCCCUAAAGUCAGUACCUGCAUCAAUGUAUCUGCAUCAUUUGGUAUUUCCACAAAAGUUUUCUAUUCAACCUCCAGCAGAGGAAAAAAAAAAAAAAACUUACUGCAUGGGCAAAAGUUUAAUUUUCCUUCGUCUUGUCAGAAAUGGAGAAAAACUGGCUAGAGUGAAUUGUCAGCUGUUUUUUCUAGUGAAUUUUGACUUGCGGAAUUUCAGGUUAUAAUUGUCUUUUGCUUGUCAAGGGUCAGAUGCAAACAUUUGAGAGGACAAGCAGACAGAAGGGCGUUAAUACAAAUACACCAGCUCAAAAAUAAUUUUUCGGGGUAAAAGCAUUAAUGAGUGUUUAAAGAGGUAUACAUGGAAAAAAAGAAAAAAAAUCAGCAAUGAAUUACCUAAGGAAACUAUAUCCUCAAAAUGCCAGCAGGCCUAAAAUAAGAAGAAAAGGAUAUCAUCAUCAUCAUCAUCAUUCGAGCCAUUUAUAAAUAGUGUGAAUCAGCUACAGCACAAAAAGAUGUAACGACUUCAACUAGUUUAAUAAGUUCUCAAGAUUGGUUGUCAACCUACCAUUUGACGUUCUAGAAAUUGAUACUAAAUUCUUGAAGGGAAAUCAGAAACUAGAGGGAUUUGCGAGGAUAGUUGUAUAAAGAAAUUCACUCGGAUAAAUAUAUAUGUAUGCAUAAACAAAUAUUCAUACACAAAUGAAUAUUAAGUGCAUAUGUGAAACAUAAACACAGCAAUAGAUAUUAAUUGUAUGCAUAGGCUAGAGAGGUGGGAAGGAGAGAUGGCAAAUUCUAAGGCAUUUUGUUUAUGCUUCAACUUUAUGGAUCCACUUUGGUGGGACUCUAACAGAGUGAUGAAUUUUUCCUCGAUUUCCAUAUUCUCUGUGAUAUUUAUAUGGAUCCAGGAAAUUUUACGAACUAUUAUGUAUAUCCCAGAAUUUUUCAACAAACAACAAGUACACCAAAUUAUUUGUUUUAUAAGAACAUGUUAGUUGGAUGUUGUCACACAUUCCAUGCCCACAUUACUUUGAAGUAAAUCGAUUGGUGUCUAAAAUGAUUCUGCAAUUGACACAAUAUCUUUUCCUUAUUAUUACAUAUGAAUUUAGUAAUUAAUCCAACAACAAAAGUUCAACCAUAUGAGUUCUUAGAUUACACAUAAAUGUUAAACAUAUUCAUACCAUUCUCACUUGCUUAAAUCCAAGAAGCACAUAUAAAUCAAACAAACCAAACGAGUGACUAAAUAUUAGCUAUGCGAAAACAACAAUAAUGGCAAAAGGUGUCCUAAAACAUCUUUCCACUCAAAUCAGAACGAAACAACCAAUGCGAUUCUUCCAUUGUUCCUCUAAAAAUGUUAUGAAACUUAAAAAAGAAAGAUUUAAAACAUUAAACCUAAAUCAAACCCUCUUAAUACAAAAACAAAACGCACUACUUAAAACAAAGUAUUAAUAAACUCGUAGAUUAGUUCAUAAACCAGUACCUCCCACACGAUCAUGGCGUCCUGAUUCGUCCCCUUCUUCCCCUGCUGCGUAUAGAGGGAAGCGACCUCGCUCGCCCCGUUCAGGAACAUCCGCCCCGGCACGCGGCGGAGCUCCUCCUCCGCCAACUCCCCUCCGCCGCUGCCUCCCGCCGCCGCCCCUCGCCGGUCGAACAACGCCCCUCCGCCACCGCCUCCGCCGCUCCCGCUCUCCGUCUUCUCCUUCGUCUUCCACCUCUCAGACCAUCUCCUGGACACUCCUCCGCCGCCCCCCGCGGCGGCGCCCCCGAGCGAAGCUCCCUCCGCCGCCGAGGGCGACGAUAAGCACAACCCCAUGGGAGGAGAGAGAGAGAGAGGGGGCGAGAUAGAGAGAGAGAGAGAGAGAGAGAUGGGGAGAUUAGGGCGGAUGAGCGAGAGAGUGCAGGGGUGGGCCAAUAGGGUUUAUGGCUUCGAAAACGACGGGUUUCCAUUUUUAUACGUAAUAAUAAUAAUAAUAAUAAUGAUGAUUAAUUAUACGUAAUUGCUAUUUUAUGCAAUAUAAAAAUAUUAAAAACUAUUUAAUAAUUAUUUUAUGCAACAGUAAAAGUAUUAGAUUUUUCAGUUUGGUGAAAAAUAUUAAAUUACAAAUAUUUGCAAACUAUAUUCUUUUCUUUACUUCAUCUAACGUUGUUUCUUAUGUUCUUUUUGGCAUAACUUGUCCUGGUGCCUAAUGGUGCGCCUAGGGGGUGAUUAGAAAAUAUUUCCUAGUUUUGUCCUUUAUUUGCAAAAGAGGCGUAGGUUAGCUUUAUAAUUCUUUAUUUAAUAGCUUAAUAUAAGUUCUAAUGCUCCUCCUCCGGUUGACCGGGCGAUUUUUCUAGAAGUCUUUCCUUGCAUUUACGUCCCUAUAAAACAUUUUAUUUAUAUAUACACUCUGGAAUGCCUUUCUUUGACUUUAAUUUUGGUCUUCUCGUGGACUUGUUCCACUUGUUCUCUAGGAUCAUCUCCUUUUGGUUUGGAUAGUUUAGAUUUAAUGUUUGAGCAUUUUUCUUUUUUCUUUUUUGUAUUAGAGUCCCUUUGGUUCAAUGUAAAACUGUAAAAUAUAAUUUAUCGAGAAAAAAAUUUUUGGUGGAAAUUUUUUUUACAUUUGAUAGUAUUUGAUUUGUAGAGAAAAAAAUCCCCAUUAAUAUUUGUUUAAUUGAAAGGAAAAAAUAUAUAUCUAUUUGGUUUGAUUGAAAGCAAUGAACGUAAAAAAAAUUUACGCGACUUAAAUUUUCGUUUUUCGUUGAAAAACAGCGAAAAAUAAAAAUUUUAAUUUUUUUUCAAAUUCGUAAAAAUACUUUUAUAAACAAAUAUUUUUACAUCGAACUAAAUAAACAAAAAAAGUAUCUUUCAUAAGAAAUAAAAACCAAGCACUUUUUAGGAAUUAAGUCAUAAGAAAUAAUUAAAACAUAAUCGACACGAAAGAUAUUUUUAUAUUUCUUUACGAAAGAGACUAUCUGAUCAGUUUGAAGCUCUAAAAAUUCAUUCAUGAUUAAAAUCUUUGUUCUUUCUACAUUAUAUAAAAGUUUAGGAACUAUUUUGCCUCUCACUUGACCCAAAAACUCUUCAUAUUUAUUAAACACUUAAUCUCCUUAUUUUUUCCUUUUCAUUUAGAUAUAAAAGUUUCAUCCUAUUUCACUUUCAUUUUAUUUCCAAACUUCUGAUUUCUGUACCCUUUAUAUGUUUUAUUAAGGAGGUUUUGAAAUAGUUUUAUUUUUUUCUUUUGAGGACAAAUAGUUUGAUUAUUGUUAUGUAUUAUAUAUAUAUUUGAGUCGUGUUCAUGUCAACCUUUUCUCUUUUAGUAUCCGUUUAUUGAGCCCAACCUAACUAAUAUUAUCUCAUUAUACAUUAUUUAUUUAUUUUUUUAUGUGUAAGGAAACUAACUAGUCUUAUCUCUUUCCACAUGACGAUCUCUUCUUUUUUUUAUUCUCGAAAACUCUCAUUUUAAAAUUAUAACCAAAUUACAUAAAGUAAUAGGAUGAUGAUGUUUUCAAUUAUUAUUAUCAAAAAGAUUUCUGAGACCACGUGCUUUGACCAUAUAUACAAUUGGUUUUUAUUUUUUUUUGUGUUAUAACAAUCCAAUCCGUUAGCAAUAAUAAAUCGUCGGGUUCAAACUGUCGAUCCAAUUCGCUAGCAAUAAUAACUCGUUGGGUUCAACUUAUCAGUCCAAAAUACUUAAGUUAAAUAUAAAUUACCGGUUCAAAAUAGUAAGCACAGUUAUUAUUACUGGCAUGUAAUGUUGAGACUAUUGGGGUGUUAGAUUCCUAAUUUAAGUGUAGUACUUUGCUCUCACAUUUUCGACUGGUAUUUGUUUCUAAUAUCAAUUAUAAUAAUUUCACCCGUUAGUAAUAAUAACUCGUUGGGUUUAAACUAUCCGUUCAUAAUAUUUAACUUCGGCAAUUACUAAUAACGUGUAGGUUUCAUAUAUCCUAAUCAGAAUCAAAAUUUCAGCAGAUGCGUGACUACUG